This 460-nucleotide ribosomal RNA is filed under the name uncultured bacterium. RNAcentral describes it as "partial 16S ribosomal RNA". It matches the Rfam family "Bacterial small subunit ribosomal RNA", at positions 338 to 795 of the family's 1533-position model. The record is from RNAcentral.
CCUACGGGAGGCAGCAGUGGGGAAUAUUGCGCAAUGGGCGAAAGCCUGAACCAGCCAAGUCGCGUGAGGGAAGACGGUCCUAUGGAUUGUAAACCUCUUUAGGCGGGGAGCAAUGCCGGGCACGCGUGCCCGGAGGGAGAGUACCCGCAGAAUAAGCAUCGGCUAACUCCGUGCCAGCAGCCGCGGUAAUACGGAGGAUGCGAGCGUUAUCCGGAUUUAUUGGGUUUAAAGGGUGCGUAGGCGGCUUUUUAAGUCAGCGGUAAAAUGUCCGGGCUCAACCCGGGCCGGCCGUUGAAACUGGGGAGCUUGAGUGGGCGAGAAGUAGGCGGAAUGCGUGGUGUAGCGGUGAAAUGCAUAGAUAUCACGCAGAACUCCGAUUGCGAAGGCAGCAUACCGGCGCCCGACUGACGCUGAGGCACGAAAGCGUGGGGAUCGAACAGGAUUAGAUACCCCUGUAGUC